This 29-nucleotide non-coding RNA is filed under the name Mus musculus (house mouse). The record is from RNAcentral. Lineage: Eukaryota; Metazoa; Chordata; Mammalia; Rodentia; Muridae.
UGUCCAGUAGGCAAACAUUUCUAGUGGUA